GAUGUACAGUAGACUAUAGAAGAUAGAGUUGUAAGGUUGAUGAGAUAGU
This 49-nucleotide unclassified non-coding RNA is filed under the name Trypanosoma cruzi. Its description in RNAcentral is "guide RNA". The record is from RNAcentral. Lineage: Eukaryota; Euglenozoa; Kinetoplastea; Trypanosomatida; Trypanosomatidae.